CUCCAACCUUAUUUGAUUUUUUUUCCAACUUGCAGCAGAACACUCGAGGUGUUUCAAAUUAGAGAUAUUUUGAGUUGCAGAGGUAAAACAAAAGCUUAAGACAAUGGAAACACUUGAAAAGGAACUCAUCCACCGUCAGAGAGCUUUAUUGAAAAAAAAACAAUGAUCCAGAUUCCUCAGAGAACGUGUAAGAGGUCGAACAAACAGAGAGAGAGAGAGACUGGUCAAGUUGCAGAUAAGAAGCGUUUACGAGAAAAACAGAGGCUGUUAAAUCAAUAUGUUCACAGAGAUAGUCCGAGUUAGGUAACGAAUGAAUGGAACGAGAGCUUUACUAAGGUUUAGCACAAAGGGUCAAUGGAUAAGAAGUAUAACUCUUUCUGGGUUUCUCUCUCUAGGUGACUCGCUGCUACCGCCAAAGUAAAGUUUCAAUCUUUGUAGUUUUUCAGUUUAGCUUUUUGGAUUUAUUGGGUUUCGAAGAUCUGGACAUCUUUAGAAUCAGAUUCAAUCACUGUUUCAUGUGCUAAGGUUUGUUAGGUACUCAGUAGACUUUGGUGUUUCAUUGAAGUACCUGGAAAUGGUUUUAAGUGGCAAAGACACAAACUUUUAGAGUAUUGAGUUAUGUGUCUUGAUGUUUGGACGGUUGAUUCUUCAGUAUAUUAUCAGUUCUCUAUCUGGACGUGUAAUUAAAGAAUAUGUUCAGAAGCUUAUAGUAAUAACUUGAGAUUCUGGUGGAUGAUCAAGAGGGAGUCAGGUGCAAGCGAGUGAAACACAAGAGAGUCAGAUGCAAGCGAGGGAGACACAAGAGAGUCAGGGAGAACAGCAAGCAAGCGAGUCACAAGAGCAAACGAGCCAGUCUCAGCAAGUCUCUGUACCAUUGAAACAGAUCAUAAUCAGGAAAUCAGUCAGGUGGUCUCUCAAAACAGUCCUAUUGGUACUGGCCGGUCAGAUACGAGUCAGUCUCAGAGCAGUCCCGUUGGUGCGGGGCAGUCUGAAAUGAGUCAGACCACCCAUGUGUCGGACUCGGAUCCUCCUCCAGCACCAACGAGCCACACCCAUACAUCAUCAGAUUCUCAAGUGUCAGACCAGAGAGAGCCCGAUGAUGAGAAGAUGGAGGACACCGCAACCUCAGAAAAUGAGAGGUCCGAAGUUGAGAAGUUAAAGGAAUCUUCUGCAGAAGAAGAAGACUGAGUGUAACCUUCUCCGACAUGUAUUGGUAGCAUUUUUUAAAAGAUUUUAUUUUUAUUUCAAAUGAAUUUUGUAGAAUUAAAUUAAAGAUGUCACUGUAUCAUAAGCGAUUGUAGAAUUCAGGGUUUUGUUGGUCUCAUUGUCACUGCAGUUUAUAUUAUUUAGGGAAAUUCCAACUGUAAUUUUCAUGUUGCUGCAGAGAUUUGAUUUGAGAUUAGUCUGGAUUUGAGCCAAGAAUCGGGUUACAUAGAUAUUCAUUAACUGAUAUCGUAUGAGUGAUGCAAGUGCUA
Raphanus sativus (radish) is the source of this 1475-nucleotide long non-coding RNA. RefSeq lists it as uncharacterized. NCBI's taxonomy places the organism in Eukaryota, Viridiplantae, Streptophyta, Magnoliopsida, Brassicales, Brassicaceae. The record is from RefSeq and is a predicted model, not a curated record. The transcript has 3 exons.